RNAcentral lists this ribosomal RNA (378 nucleotides) under uncultured eukaryote. RNAcentral describes it as "partial 18S ribosomal RNA". It matches the Rfam family "Eukaryotic small subunit ribosomal RNA", at positions 592 to 976 of the family's 1831-position model. The record is from RNAcentral.
CAAUAGCGUAUAUUUAAGUUGUUGCAGUUAAAAAGCUCGUAGUUGGAUUUCGGGUGGGACGCAGCGGUCUCGCAUUGCGUUGGUACUGCUGCAGCCCUCCUUCUUGCCGGGGGCGGCCUCUCGGACUUCACUGUCUGGGGGUCAGAAUCGGCGAUGUUACUUUGAGUAAAUUAGAGUGUUCAAAGCAAGCUUACGCUCUGAAUAUAAUAGCAUGGGAUAACACGACAGGACUCUGGCCUAUCGUGUUGGUCUAUAGGACCAGAGUAAUGAUUAAGAGGGACAGUCGGGGGCAUUCGUAUUCCGUUGUCAGAGGUGAAAUUCUUGGAUUUACGGAAGACGAACAUCUGCGAAAGCAUUUGCCAAGGAUGUUUUCAUUGA